GUGACCAGAUUUGCAAAUGAAUAUAAGUUGGGUGACUUGAUUAUAUCAAAUUGAAGAUGAGCGACCCAGAUGAAACUUCUCUCAAAUUUGGGUGACCUUUCUGUGCAUUUAACCUGUUACUUAGUAAUUAAAGUUUAAAUGGAGACCAUAUGACUAAAUCUGAGCCGUUGAUGCAAAAUUUCACCCCCUAUAUGUACCCAUAUUUUUCUUUACGAUGCCCUCACUUUUUCUUGCUUCCACCAUUAGAAAUCAGUGUUGACUAAACAUGUAUGCUCCUCCAGGAUAUCAAGAAAUGUCAUACUUUGAUCAUAUUCAAAGACGCAGGGAGGAAAAGGGCCAUCUUUAUGCUUGGUUUGUACCUUUAUAAUCACUUUUUUUGAUUAAUUUCACUAUUUUUUGGAUUAAAACUCUGCUUUAUACAUAUUAUUUGAUUGUAAUUUCCAGCCUGUUUGCUCUUUGUUGCUGUUUCCUUUGCUACGAGACUUGUGAGUGCUGCUUGGAUAUCUGCUGCUGCUCCUGCGCUUAGUGCAUGUUUGGUCGGGAUUAUGAAUUAAACGAAUUUGAAUCUUAUUUAUUGUAUUGUCUACACUUGUGUGUCUUAUGAUGUGUACUAAACGUAUUGAUGAAUGAUAAUAUACUGUUGAAUGAUUGAGUAAAUUAGUAAAUAAGUUUUAUGCAGUGAUGCUCAUUUUAAGGUUUUUUCAGUUUCUUUUUCUAUAAUUUCUUUGAUGUUCAAUGUUGUUACCAAAGUCACAAGAG
RNAcentral lists this long non-coding RNA (759 nucleotides) under Olea europaea subsp. europaea. The record is from RNAcentral. Lineage: Eukaryota; Viridiplantae; Streptophyta; Magnoliopsida; Lamiales; Oleaceae.